UUUCGCCAUGUCUACUUCAUGUCAUUUAAAUAAAAAAUGAGGGUAGUUUUGACAUUUUGCUAACCUUUAUGAGUUGUUUGCUGUCAUCCGAUGACACGUAGCCUCUUCCAAUUUUUCCUCCUAAUAUUUGUCGCUUGCUUUCGGUAACACAGAUCCUCUUCCAAAAUUAAUUUUUGAUGCUUUCACUUCUGAUUUGUUAUUCAAAUUUCUGCAUAUUGAUUCCAGCUUCUCUUUGCAGCAUAUGAUAUCUAUGAUUGUUGCUUGAUUUUGGUAUUCAGCAACAUACACAUCCAUCAUACAUUAAGCGAAAGGUUUGAUUGACAAAGUGACGAAAUGUCAAAGAUCGGCUCAAAAAGGUGUGAAACCUGCUAAAGUAUCAAAGGCCAAGAGAAUUGAAGAAGUAAGGGCCUAGUGCGGACCGCACAACAGUGACCGCGGCCGCACUAGGAGGUUCAAAGAUAUGACAUAUUUAGGCUUAAAGUCACGCGGCUGCAGUAGGAUUUUCGCGGUCCGCAGUGAACUUCGCGGCCGCACUCCUACUUUGUGUUGUCCGCGUUCAUAAGGUUCAGAGAGUUGGACAAGGGACCAAAACCAUGCCACGCGGUCCGCGUCCUGUUUGUGCGGACCAUGCCAUACCCUCUACGCGGCUGCGCUGCAUUUUCACGCGGUCCACGUCCUCCAGUUUAGAGAGCUUAAAGUUGAAGUCAAUAGAGCCAGUGCGGCCGUGGUUUCUUUUGUGCAGCCCGCACUGACCCCGCAGGGCUAUUUUUGUCCAGUUUUUCCAGCCCACUAUAAAAAGGACAUUUUACCAUUUUUAGGUCAAGUUUGGUAUUCAGAAACGCACCUGAACUCGUGAGACCGAUAUUGUAGCCAUUUUUGGCACUUUUGCUUCC
Long non-coding RNA from Nicotiana tabacum (common tobacco), 893 nucleotides. RefSeq lists it as uncharacterized. NCBI's taxonomy places the organism in Eukaryota, Viridiplantae, Streptophyta, Magnoliopsida, Solanales, Solanaceae. The record is from RefSeq and is a predicted model, not a curated record.